Molecule: long non-coding RNA, 146 nt
Organism: Sphaeramia orbicularis (orbiculate cardinalfish)
Lineage: Eukaryota; Metazoa; Chordata; Actinopteri; Kurtiformes; Apogonidae
Exons: 3
Source: RefSeq, a predicted model, not a curated record
AAAAUUCAGCCCGACCCGACCCAGGCCCACGGGUAUUAAAGCCCGACCCAGCCCGAGCCCGACCAGUUAACUUGAUUUGCAGGCCCGAGCCCGAAGCAAACCCGAAAUUUCAUAUUUUAUUUGUGAGGACUCGGGAGGAGGAGGGG